CAGCCGUAAACAAUGUGCGUUAGGUGUGUCGGUAACCACGCGUUACUGAUGCGCCGAAGAGAAAUCGUGAAACGCACCACCUGGGAAGUACGGUCGCAAGGCUGAAACUUAAAGGAAUUGGCGGGGGAGCACCACAACAGGUGGAGCCUGCGGUUUAAUUGGAUUCAACGCCGGACAUCUCACCGGAUAAGACAGCUGAAUGAUUGUCAAUCUGAAGGUUGUACAUGACUAGCUGAGAGGAGGUGCAUGGCGUCAGUGACU
This 261-nucleotide ribosomal RNA is filed under the name uncultured archaeon. Its description in RNAcentral is "partial 16S ribosomal RNA". It matches the Rfam family "Archaeal small subunit ribosomal RNA", at positions 748 to 1008 of the family's 1478-position model. The record is from RNAcentral.